Long non-coding RNA from Heterocephalus glaber (naked mole-rat), 1487 nucleotides. RefSeq lists it as uncharacterized. Lineage: Eukaryota; Metazoa; Chordata; Mammalia; Rodentia; Bathyergidae. The record is from RefSeq and is a predicted model, not a curated record.
GUGGGUAGGUAGGAGGAAGCCAGACGUGACGCAGUUUCCCCUAUCUAGAGUCUCUUCAUGACAGCAAGCAGACUCAACUGGGUCGGAGUCCUCAGAAGAGUGACUCCCUGUGUGGGGGUCCAAAUCCAUUCAGCCCCAGAGGUUUAUGUGGCCAAAGUCUGUUUUUUUCUGUUUAUUGUUGUCUGUCUGCUUGCUCUGUGUGCCUUUUGCGUUUUCACAGGCUAAAAUUAUAGGUUCCUCACAGUCCACAGAAGGAACUCCACUUGAUUGUGUUUUGAAUAACUUCAAAAAAAUUUAUUCCACAGACAGAGAAGAUGAAUAUGGCAUGAAAUUUUCUAAAGGCAAAUUGUGAACUCUGUGUCAAUCAGAAUGGCCAAGUUUCGGAGUCAGUUGGCCCCUGGUAGGAACUUAUUCUGUGCACAUUGCUCACAAGGUUUGGAAUGUGGUCAUGGGAGUCAGGGCCCCACAGGUCCCAAUUGACCUUUGGCACUCAAUCAGGACAGGACUAUGGUCCAUCAGCCCCGUCUUCCUCCUCCCUUUUUCCUUUAAAACAGACAGAGCCCAGGGGAGGAUUGAUUUAUGUCCCUUUUACAACUAGUGAUCUUUACAAUUGGAAACAUCAAAAUCCCCCCUUCUCUGAAAAACCUCAGGCAUUAAUCUCUUCUUGAGUCUGUUUUUCAUACCCAUCAGCCAACCUGGGAUGAUUGCCAGGAGCUUUUACAGAUCCUGUUCACCACUGAGGAGCGGGACCGCAUUUAUCAACAAGAAGUCAAAGAGGCCCUGGGGCCAAACCCCAGCAUCACUCCUGGAACUCUGGGGCAUCCAGCCAAGGCUGAAACAGUAGUUCCAUUGUGACACCCCAAAUGGGACCCCAAUGAUGAUGAUGGUAAGAGGAGGCUGGGGACCUACCACCAGCACCUAUUAGGGGGACUCCGGGCAGCGGCCAGAAAGCCCACUAAUUUGAGUAAGUACCAGGCCCUGUUGCUGGAUGCUCCGCACAUCAAAUUCGCUUGAAAAAUGACCCUCAAUCCGGCCACCUUACUCCCAGACUCCAACUCAUACGCAUGCCCCUCCGUGACUGUCUGGACACUCUGACAACUUCCACCACCAACCACCCAGAUCUGACUGAUGUUCCCCUGCAAAGCCCAGAUGAGACCUUCUUCACCGAUGGAAACAGCUUCGUGGAAGACUGAGUCAGUCUCUUCAAGCCUUACAGAUUCUUCAGAGUGAAAUCCAGGCUACAAUACUGCAGGCUCGAAAAAAACCUUUGCAACGUUCCAGCCUCACAGUUUCAAGCCAGGAGACCUGGUCCUGAUAUGCUUGGUUUGCUUGCACUGAGGACUUGACUAAAUAUGUUCCCAAAUCAGUCUUGGCUACCCAAUCUGCCACUUUAUUUUGUGUCACCGUGUAUGUUGUUCCACAAGUCUUGUAUUGUAAUAAAAAAGGGGGCCGCAAACAUCUGGGAUUAACCACUGAACACUAUAGGA